Molecule: long non-coding RNA, 911 nt
Filed under: Struthio camelus australis
Lineage: Eukaryota; Metazoa; Chordata; Aves; Struthioniformes; Struthionidae
Description: lncRNA (ENSSCUG00000017286.1)
Source: RNAcentral
GAUGAUGAUCUUGGAUCUUCAAGGUCUGCUCAUUUUUGAUGCGGUGGUGAAUGUUUAUUGUUCUUGCUUAUUGGCUUAUGGAUCAAAUGGGGAAACAUAUGUGGGGAGAGAAUGGAGGAGGAACGAAAUUCAUUCUUAUGUGAACUAGAGUUCAACCACCAGGCCAAACUUUCUCUGCUUUCUCACGUGCAAACCUGCUACAGACAGAAGAAUGAAACUGUUUUUCAGGGACAUGAGGGCUGCAAGCUUGGGUAAAAACUUCCUCAGUGGGAGAUCAGAAGAGCCAGCUAUCAUCAGCAACUUUUUCUGUGUUGUUACAAGGUGUAAAGAUGGCUUAACGAGUCACUUCCUCCUCUCUGUCAUUGAAGGAAUCAUUCUGGCUCAAGAUCAUUAUGAGGGUAUUGCAAGAACAUGGUCUGCUCUCAACAAGGGAGAUUGUCAGCAUAUGGCAUAUAUAAACCAGCAAUUUUUCAAUACUCUGGAGAGCUUCUUAAGGGCCUUACAAAAUACCACUGAUGGCAGUUGUGAAUGUCGCCUACUGUUAGAGAACAUCCAGAGACACUUACAAACGUAAAGCCUGUAUUUUCGGUUAGCUGAAAAUUUGGAGCCACUGUUGUCAGAAAAUCCAGUGGUAGCUUUUCUCAGCAAUUUCAAUCUUUUGAAUGGUGAGUUCCUGUUUUCUUCAGCACUUUUUUGCAGUUCUCUGCUGUGUAUCUUUUUUGCAGCAGAGUAACUUUUUGGUUGUUCUCCUAAGGUUAAAAGGAUAUUGCUUAUGGAAAGUACUGAUUUAAGGCAAUAUAUUCUCAGUAUGUACACAUAUACACACAUAGACACUAUUCUUGUCCCAGGAUGGUAUAGUUCACCCUGUUGAGGCCUGUCCUAGGGACAUGUAGGGAUUCAUUAGAAAGAGG